Molecule: long non-coding RNA, 305 nt
Filed under: Vigna radiata
Lineage: Eukaryota; Viridiplantae; Streptophyta; Magnoliopsida; Fabales; Fabaceae
Description: long non-coding RNA (VRAD_LNC000423)
Source: RNAcentral
AACCACAACAACUUGGUCAAACACCUUCAUAGCCCAAUAAACAUGCAACUAGCUUAACAGACACGCAAAUAGCUUGACAAUAAUAAAAACACAAUUCUACACUCAUAAAAAUAGCUCAACAAACAAAGAAACAGCUGGAUAACCAUAAGCAACAACUCAACUAGGGUCAAAAACCCCCAGGCUGACCUCUAGAACAACAAAAUCGAGUUCCAAAACCUCCAAACUGAGGUAUCAAAACUAUUGGUCAAAUAACCCAGUCUAACAGCCCAACCUAGCCAACUAACACCCCAACUACUUAGCCCGAC